Long non-coding RNA from Heterocephalus glaber (naked mole-rat), 5038 nucleotides. The record is from Ensembl. Lineage: Eukaryota; Metazoa; Chordata; Mammalia; Rodentia; Bathyergidae.
CCCUCAGGGGUCUCCGGAAGCCCCGCCCUCCCGGAAACCCAGCCUCCAGACCGCACCGCGCGAACGGAAGGGCCUGCGGCCCGGCCGCCGCCAUAGGUGUGGAGCCAAAACCCGUAGGAAAGCUGGUUCCCCAGACUUCGGAACCUGGAGCAGAUGGACGGCGGGAAGGAGGAGAGGUGCGAAGUCAAUGUCCCCGCAGGUGCAGAUGUCUCUGGGCCGUUCAGUCGGCCCCUCUUGGCUCUGCAACCCACUCCCGAAUGGCCAGGAGCCCCCGGGCCCGAAAACCCGAGAGGACGGUGAUAUGGCCUGCAAGCCAAGGCUGUUGAGGAGCUCCUCGCGCCUUAGAAAUUCCUCCUCUCCUUCCUCCUGUGCAGAAUGAUGUGAUGGAGGAGCCAAACAAGGUCCAGAAAAGGAAAAUAGGCUUCAAGACCAUGGCUCCACUGUCAUUUACCUGAGGGCCAUCCAGGGCUCCCUGGGGAAAUGGAUGCCCCAAAGGAAGGAAGAAGCUACUAUCACUAGGGUACAGCUGAGUGCAGAAGAGCAUCCCAGCUGUGUAGAAGGACCAGCCAGGAGUGUCACUAUCAGUGCUUCUCAGAACUAGAAAGAGCCAUACCCCUCAGGUCAGAGUGGAAGAGGAAAAGUCAGUUAAACAGGAACAGUUUCUGUGAUAGGAGAGUGAUUAUAGGCUGUCAGGAGAAACCCAGCGAAGGGCCACUUAGGGGCCGAACAACAGUCAUUGACAAGCCCUCUCUACCCCUAGAAUUUGUGGAUGAUGCUGACUUGUCUAGAAAUCCAAAAGCAGAAAGAUAAGGAGGUUGUAAUAGAGCACCUUCAGGAAGUGACUAGUCGGAUAUGGAUGGAAUCUCCACAAAUCAGAUUCUCUCGGGAAGAGCCCACCUCUCUGAAAUACUCAGUAGUUCCAGAGCCUUCUUCCUUCCCCACUGACUAUGUCAUGUACCCUUGUCAUGUGUAUAGUUGUCCUUAGUCUGAUGAUGCCAGCUACUGGACCAGCAGCCCCAAGACUCCUGGCUACUCCUCUGUGGGGAGCACAGGCUGGGAAGAGCAGCCAUAGCCUCCUGUGUGAUUAUCACCCAGUACACCUCCAGAGACCUGAAGGCUUUAAACAAAGGCAGAUCAUAGAAUUCUUACUCAUUUCGUUUCUCCAGAAGCUCUAAAGAAGAAAUGGUGAAGGAGAAAAGAACAUUCCCAGAGGAGCCACUGCUUUUUUGGGGGCUCAAGACACACAUCUAGCUUCUUUCCAAGUUGCCACCGGGAGCCAAGCCUACAGGAGGGCUUCACCAAUAAGCACUGUCACUUGGACAUGCUAUAUUCCAUGUUGUCUUUCAAAGGGACUUUUACUGUCUGGGCAGGAUGCUGUGCCUAUAAUCUCAGCAUUUGGGAGGCUGAGGCAGGAGGAUUGCUGUGAUUUCAAGGCCAGCCUGGAAUACAUAACAAGACUCUGUCUCAAAAAACUGAAAGAACCUUUACAAAGUUCAGGAAAAUUUAUAGCAGUUCCUUCCCUAAGGAGUUUUCAGGGCUGCAUCUCAGACUUCUGUGAUCCUUGGACACUGAUGAAUUGCCUAUGAAAGAGUUGAUGAAAGAAGAUUGAGUUAGGGGGCCUUUGGCUGUCACCUUCAUUUUGCACAUUACUAUAGUGAGAGUCAAGAAAGAAAUUUUUUGCAAGCCUUAAGACACCCAAAGGCUGUGGCAUUUGGGGAAAUGGGCCUGGAUUACUCUUACAAAUAUACCAUACCAGUCCAAAUAGCACAAGGUAUUUGAGAGCCAGCUGCAGCUGGCUGUGUCUCUAAAGAAACCUCUUGGUCAUCCAUUACCAAGAAACUGACAAAGAUCUGCUGUACAUUAUGGAAAAAUUUGAGUCAUCUGACUAGAAAAUCCAUAGACGCUGCGUCACCAGCAGCUAUGUGGUCAUUGCGCUGCUGUUGAAGUACUUACCGAACAUGUCUGUGGGCAUUCCUGAUGUUCUCUUCUGCCUAGGAGGACUGAGUCUCUGAAACAUAUCCACUGGAGAAAAUAAUUGUGGAGACUGGUGAUCCCUACUUCUUCCCUUACCAGGGAGUGCAAAGCCCUACCCCAUAAGAGCAGUCCACAGAAGCCUGGGACCCUACUCACCCAGAACCCCCUUGGUAGGACUCUCCUUGCAACUGCAGGUUCCCAAAAGCGUUUGUCAAUAUGCUCACCCUGGCCCAGCUUUCCACACAGUUCAAGAGAUUGCCAGGGUCAAAGAGGAACUGCUGUUCUGCACCUUGGCCACCUUGUGUGAGAACACCAGUCAGUCACUGCUACAGUCUACAAGCCAAGUGGAUUUCAGCAGGAAACUUAGAACAGGCCAACCAGCAGCCUCACAGAACAUUGGCUGGGUCUGAACUUUGCCUAUGUCAAGGAUGUGAUUGCACAGCCCAUUGGAACAGAGAUAACCGGGACCAUAUGUUGUCCUCAGAACUGAUGGGAGGGUGCAGUGGCCUACAUUGCACAGUGCAGUGGAUGUGGGUGAGGGGUUAAGGGGCUGCCCAGAAUGUCAUCUAGGUUUUGUCUCUUGGCUAAAAUGUUCCAGGGCAGUCCCUGGAUGAAUGUCAUGUAAGGGUAUGAGUUUGCCAGUCCAAGUCUGAGGAAAGCAGAAUAGAAAAUGAAAAUAGAAACUGAAGAGAAAUCAUACCAAUCUUUGAACUUGCUACAAGGGGUUGGGAGUUUAGCUCAGUGGUAAAGCCUUUGCCUAGCAUGCAGAAGUACCUGGGUUUCUUCUCCAACAACACCAGAAAAAGAGUUGCAGUUAUGGAAAUCUCAGAGGCAGAGAAAUGAGAUUUAAGAAUGUAUUCAGUCACAUAUUCAGAACAUGGCUUCUUCUCUAAAGAGCUGUCAACCCCUGGGUCUUGCAGUAGAGUGCUUGAAACAUUCAGAUGGGGACUCAGCAGUAAACAGUGUUGUCAGGUAUCAUAUGUCAGAUCUCCAAACAGCCUAACAGGAAGGGGAAAAGACGUGUACAAAACCAAGGAACCCAGGGAAACUAUAUUUUUAGAAAGCUCUGAUACCCAGCCAGGAUUGAAAACUGCUUCCACAGAGUCUUUUUUUUCCCUCAUCUACUAUGACCAGGGCUCAGGCCUCCAUUGUGCUGUGGUGGUAAAGGAUUUUUGCUGCUCUAAGAAUAUAAUCCCUUUUGUGAAGCAUUGAACAUCAUUUCAAAUCACUUAAGCCCUUAAGUGUUUUUUAUAAGCCAGUAACUCAUCCCAAUCUUUGGAAAGUUAAGACUUGAUUUUAAAGAUCUAAUUUAAAGCAAUUCUGAAUUCACCUUUUGUCUUAGAUGCUAUAAAAUUUGUUAGGGCUUAAGAAAUAAUCUAUUUUUAGAAGAAAAAUCAUUAAUGCCUGUAAGGAAAAGAUGUAAAAAGUCAAUAUAAUGAGUAUUAGAAAAAAAAAUCCCAGUAGGUUUCUCCAGUUUUUUCCCUCCAGAUCCCAUUUUCUAGGCACAGCACUCAGUGAGGAGCAUCUGAAUCAGUUGUCAUUUCACAAGUGAUAUGCGCAGAUGUAAUUCCCAAGAAAGAGAUUACAGUUUGCUAUAGUCACCAUAGAUGCACGGAUGUCUUUUCAUAGUUUUUGUACCUAGAUUAAUCCUUGUAUAGAAUGGAAACACUUAAUGGAGUCUCUGGUUAAAGAACAAUUAUGUUAAAAUAUUACACUGGCUUUAUAUUCGUGAGUAUAUCAAUUCAUUUUUGAAAUGAGCUUCUGAAGCUGUAAGCCAGUUGAAGUGAAAACCCUACAUUGCACCAUAGAAAAAUAGAACAUUGAGAUUAAUCAUAACACUUGUUGUGCGAAUUCAUCUACCAUGAGUAUUAUGCAAAUAUUGUGAUAAGAACAAUGAAAGAGGAAAGGUGAAUGAUUUUAUUUUCAAAAAUAGGCAGAGAACAGGAUUUGAUCUCCAGGCCCAGGUUUUCUAACCCCUGCUCUAAAGCUAAGAAUGGCUUUUAUGAUUUCAAAUGAUUGGGGGAAAAUCAAAGGAAUAAUAUGUAAUGAUACAUGAAAAUUCUAUGAAAUUUGAAUGUCAGCAUCCAUUCAUUUCUGUGUUGUCUAUAGCCACUUCAUUUAUGUGAAGAGAGACUUGAGUAAUUGUCACGGAGACAGUAUGGCCUAGAAAGACUCAAUAUUUAUGAUCUGGCCCUUCACAGAAAAUGCUUCUCAUUUUCUACUCUGAGGCAGCCCUCAAUUUUGGAACUGUCUGGAAAACUUUCACAAUAUUUAUUUAAUUGGUCAAUAGUGAGCCUGAACAUUGUGGUAGAAGAUACUCUUACCCUCCCUCCCAUUAUGCUAACAAGUAGCCAAGGUUGAGAAACACCACCCUGACACUGGCCUUCAAACUGAAGUAUAUUUAGAGCUAUGGUUUUUACCUCUUUUUGCACCUCAGAACCACAUGGAGAAUUCAUAAAAAUACCAGGGCUGGGCUCCGCCUUUGUCCAGUUAAAGCAGAAGUGGUGUUAGUGGGGGUUUAGAACAAGUGCUUGGUGUGAUCCUUGUAUGCAGCAGGCACACUGCCUGAGGACUGACCCUGAGCUUAAGCUCAACUACUUAGAGGUUGUCCUUGGACAAGUGACUGACUCUAAGCCCUAAUUACUUACCCAUAUACACACAGGUUAAAACUAGGGCCCAGGUGAGGCGGAAUCACAGAGAAGGAUCUUCCCUUUCUAUGUACAAAGAUGAGUGAGUGUUAGAUUUCACCCAGUCAAGGGAAAAUAAAGGUAUCGCAGCAUCUCUGAGGCUUAAAAUCAGAUACCUGAUUUCUUUUGGUAACUUAGAGGCUAUCUUAGAUUGAAAAAUCAAGGAUAGGUCAUACUAAUAUGGUAAAAAGUUUGGAGUGAGAAAUUUUGAUCUUCAGAAUCUUCAUUUGUUCAGUGAGAGGAAAAAACUGCAAAUCUACAAAGCUGCCAGAUUAAUGUAUAUGGGACAUAAUUAUACUAAAACUCAUUUCCUAAUUUAAAAUUUAAAUUUGAGUAAAUUUAAAUUGUUCCAUAUUUUUAUUUCUUCCAUCUCAAAG